RNAcentral lists this ribosomal RNA (187 nucleotides) under uncultured Staphylococcus sp. Its description in RNAcentral is "partial 16S ribosomal RNA". It matches the Rfam family "Bacterial small subunit ribosomal RNA", at positions 153 to 334 of the family's 1533-position model. Lineage: Bacteria; Bacillati; Bacillota; Bacilli; Caryophanales; Staphylococcaceae. The record is from RNAcentral.
GAAACCGGAGCUAAUACCGGAUAAUAUAUUGAACCGCAUGGUUCAAUAGUGAAAGACGGUUUUGCUGUCACUUAUAGAUGGAUCCGCGCCGCAUUAGCUAGUUGGUAAGGUAACGGCUUACCAAGGCAACGAUGCGUAGCCGACCUGAGAGGGUGAUCGGCCACACUGGAACUGGGACACGGUCCAG